AGAGCACAAUAAGUAGGAUGUCUACGCAUUCCUGCUGGACAGAAGAGUGACUAUACUGGCCCAGAGCAGCAAGUGUUGUGCUGUCUAAACAAAAUACCCUUCAGGACCAAGCACUGGUCAGGGCUGUUGGCCGUAAAGGAUCUGAUUAUAGCGUGGAGCAGCAAGAAUUCUGCUCGCCAUGCAAAACGGCCUUGGAACUCGACCAAAGGAGCUAAAAUGUUACUCAGGCCUGCUUGCUGGCAGUGUGCUGAUUUUGGCCCAAAGCAGAAACUGUUCUGAACACUUGACAAAACGGCAUUCAGAGCCAACCACUACUCAGAUCUAUUGUCCGUGAAGAAGCUGAUUUCAGCCCACAGCAGGAAGCAUUCCGGUCACCAGGCAAGAUGGUGUUCAGACUCGACAACAGGAAGUAGAAUGCCUACUCAAAGCUGCUGGCUGGAGGGCGACUAUAUUGGUCCAGGGCAGCAGGUAUUCUGCUCGCUAACAAAACAGCCUUCACAGCCAAGUACUACUCAGGCCUGGUGACUAGAAAGGAGCUGAAUUUGGCGCAGAGUAGCAACCAUUCUGCUAACUAGAUAAAACAGUCUUCAAACUCGAGCGCAAGAGAUGGGACUGUCUACUUGGCGGUGAGGAGCAUUUUGGUCCAGAACAGCAACUACCCUUCUAGCUAGACAAAUUGGCCUUCGGUGUCUAGUACUACUCAGAAAUGUUGGCCAGGAAGGAGCUAAUUUUACCUUGGAGAAAUCAGCAUUCCGCACACCAUGCAGAACAGCCUUCAGCCUCAAGAACAAGGAGAAUGGUGUGCUCGGUUGUCUUGGACAGGCCUAAUGUCCCCUGUGACAGGUCAGCCAGCAGUGAGAAAGUCAUUAGUAUUGGGGUGGACACCCACCUUCCAGGCAACGGGGACAGCUCAUCACCGCCGAGGAUUUUUUUCCUAUUGUGGUGGGCAUCCGCCUACUAUAAGUGCAGCCAACACACUAGCAGCACCAGGUGCCAACGUCAUGGACACUGACAAGACACCACCUGUUGGAUGGAGACGCUGUGGCUCUGCUGCUACC
RNAcentral lists this long non-coding RNA (1058 nucleotides) under Schistocerca americana (American grasshopper). RNAcentral describes it as "uncharacterized LOC124546008". Lineage: Eukaryota; Metazoa; Arthropoda; Insecta; Orthoptera; Acrididae. The record is from RNAcentral.